Molecule: ribosomal RNA, 475 nt
Filed under: uncultured bacterium
Lineage: Bacteria
Description: bacterial SSU rRNA
Rfam family: Bacterial small subunit ribosomal RNA
Source: RNAcentral
GAUGAACGCUGGCGGCGUGCCUAAUACAUGCAAGUCGAACGCGAAAGGCUUGAAGCCUUCGGGCGGAGGGCCGAGUAGAGUGGCGAACGGGUGAGGAACACGUAGGUGACCUGCCCCGGAGAGGGGGAUAACCGUCGGAAACGGCGGCUAAUACCCCAUAAGCUCACGCGAGUUAGAGGGCGUGUGAGAAAAGCUCCGGCGCUCCGGGAGGGGCCUGCGGCCCAUCAGCUAGUUGGUAGGGUAAAGGCCUACCAAGGCGAAGACGGGUAGGGGGCCUGAGAGGGUGGUCCCCCACAUGGGAACUGAGACACGGUCCCAACUCCUACGGGAGGCAGCAGUAAGGAAUAUUGCACAAUGGGCGCAAGCCUGAUGCAGCAACGCCGCGUGCCCGAGGACGGCCUCGGGUUGUAAAGGGCGUUUCUGGCUGACGAGGAAGGACGGUAGGCCGAGGAAUAAGACGUCGGCUAACUACGUG